UACGGAGGGUGCGAGCGUUAAUCGGAAUUACUGGGCGUAAAGCGCGCGUAGGCGGUUAGAUGAGUCCGUCGUGAAAGCCCUGGGCUUAACCUGGGAACUGCGGUGGAUACUGUCUGGCUAGAGUGUGGUAGAGGGCAGUGGAAUUUCCGGUGUAGCAGUGAAAUGCGUAGAGAUCGGAAGGAACACCAGUGGCGAAGGCGGCUGCCUGGACCAACACUGACGCUGAGGUGCGAAAGCGUGGGGAGCAAACAGG
Molecule: ribosomal RNA, 253 nt
Filed under: uncultured bacterium
Lineage: Bacteria
Description: partial 16S ribosomal RNA
Rfam family: Bacterial small subunit ribosomal RNA
Source: RNAcentral